Molecule: long non-coding RNA, 1146 nt
Filed under: Bos taurus (domestic cattle)
Lineage: Eukaryota; Metazoa; Chordata; Mammalia; Artiodactyla; Bovidae
Description: long non-coding RNA NONBTAT006989
Source: RNAcentral
UAACUUUUAUGACUUUGUUGACAUCAUUGCUAUUUUAAAGUCAUUGUAUAGAAUGCUGUAAAUCUUAAACUUAAUAUAUAAUAAGUCCUAAAAAAGACUUUUGAGUUGGUGAAGGAGUUAAUCCUUUCUUGAGUAAUUGAGUAAUAGCUUUAGUGUGGUCUGAUACUAUUUUGUCAGUUCAGCCAUCUAUUUCAUAUUGUUCUUACACAGACACAGCACGUUUGUUUCCCUGUUUUGCACCUUUUACAGCCUUUACCACUGUGUAUGUUCAUAAACACCAAAGGAGAGCAAAGGUGCAGAAUGUUACCAUAAGAUGCAGCUGCUACUCAUAGGGCCGAAAAGCAAAGCACAAAUAAUAAAUAGUUAAGAACUACUAAAUAGUGUAUAGAGUAGGGAAAAUAACACUGCUUUUUAUUAUAUUCAUGUCUUUCAAGCCUUUUUCAGAAUACGUGCCAGUCACUGAAGUUGUAAAUAAUGGUGCCUUAACUUCAUAUGCUUCUCUGGUACUUCAUUCUGAGUUUUUUCCUGACUUCAUAAAUAGUUCAGUAGUUUCCACUCACUUUUUACUAAAAUAAGAAGUAAUGUACACUUACUAAUGUUUUUCCCACAGAUAGAUAAUUUUCUAUACUUCAGAUGUAUAACUUAUUUAAACAUCAGCCAUUUGAUACAUGUUUUUAUUGCCCAGUAACUGAAUGAGAUUCAUCAAUAUAACUGUACACUAAAUUCCAUCAUUCCAUUAUAAUCCUACUUUUAUUCCCAGGAGUGUGAACUGAAAUUUGGUAAUUUCACCCCCAUGUAUCUAUACUCCACUGUCUCAUUAAACAAGAGAAAAUGUGUGCACCCAAGUGUCCAUUCCUGUUCUGUAGAAGAACUCCACAAGUAGGGCAGACUCUUCACAAGAGGCCCAGGACAAGAGAUCCAGGGUCCACGCUAAAUUUUAACGUAUACCUUUAUGGCACAGUUUGUCUGGUUUACUCAAAAUAUGUGAAUAUUUUACAUUCACAUGAAUUACUUUCCUUAAUACAAUAUUUAGAGUCAUUAGGGACAUGAUUGAAAUCAUUCUCUAGUAACCAUUAAGAAUAGGUUCAUUUUUAUUAGUUAUUCAUUCAACUUCACACAUAAAUUGUUUAGUUUGGAUAAAAAGGU